UUCAACAAGGGUGAACAAAUGCCCAAAUUCCCUUCCAAUGAACUCUGGUCUAAAUUCUGGAAUAUACUACUCAUUGGAAGGCGUCCCACGAGCCUGUUGUAGGAUAUAUUAACAGCCAGAAGAUUUUCUAACUUGCCAAGUUCUUGUGGUAUUUCACCACUCAAUUGGUUAUACUCUAGCUUCAAAAUCUUGAGCUUCUUCAACAUUGAAAGGGACCUUGGUAUUGAGCCACUUAAAUUAUUAUGUGACAAACUCCUGCAUUUAACAAAUUUGACCUUCAAUUCAAGAACUAUAGGAAAAUAAACAAAGCAUAAGUGAUACAGAACCUCAUUUUCAGAUUAACAUGUCCCUUUCUACCUCUCUAUAAAAGCAUUGUUUGUUCCAAUAUUUUUUUGGCUACUAUAGCAACAUGUUGUAAUAGAUAACAUAUAAUAUAACAUAACAUGAAAUACUAUAAUGAGAUAAUCUGAAUAAAUAUACUUACAACAAGUAGAGGGAUGAACAAUUUCCAAUCUCAUCAGGAAUAGGUCCAGUGAAUGAAUUUCCAUCAAGCUGAAGAAUUCCCAAGCUACCAGAAUCACAUAUAUCACCAGGAAUUGAUCCAACUAAAGCACUGUGUCGAAGAUCCAACACCGUUAGAUUCUGAAAGUAUCCAACCUCAGGAGGCAAUCUUGAUUGAAAAUUGUUCCAAGAAAGAUUCAAGUAUCUCAGCUUGGAGAAGAGUCCCACUUCAGCUGGGAUAUUCCCAGUAAGAUUGUUUCCUGAUAGAUCAAGAACUUGAAGUGAUUCAAAGAAUUUACCAGAACCAGGAGGGAUUGAACCAGUUAACUCAUUUCUUGAGAAAUCUGCUUCUUCCAAUCCUAUACCAAACAAUCCUUCAGGAAUGCUACCAGUAAAUGCAUUUUCUUUUAUCCGAAUAGUCGAUAAACUAGUACAAUACACCAUAGACUUUGGAAUGUUUCCACUCAAUUUGUUACCAGAUAAACUCAAGUACUUCAGCAUUUUCAAAUCCCCUAUAGAAUCAGGCAAUGCCCCUUCUAAACUAUUGCCUGAAAGAUCCAAGUACUCCAAGCUGCUCAUGUUACUUAUCCAUUGAGGGAAAUCUCCAUUUAUCAUAUUGUUUGAUAAACUGAGAAAAGAAAGAGCAUUCACCUUUUGAAGUGACAUUGGAAUUUGUCCUGUGAAUUGAUUAUUACUCAAAUCUAAUCUAUUCAAAUGUGGACAAUAUCCAAUAUCAGCUGGUAAAUCUCCACUGAAAUGAUUCCCUUGUAACAAACACUCUUUCAACUGAUGUAAAACUGAAACACCAAUUGGUACUAAUCCAGAGAGUUCAUUAUGUGAAAGAUCUAAUGUUCUAAGCCUUGUCAAUCCCCAUAUUCCCUCGGAAAAUCCAGGGUCACCAGAAAAAUGGUUUCUUGAAAGAUUGAGAUGGUUCAAACUAGUACAUUUUGAAACUGUUUUAGGAAAUGAACCUUCAAGAUAAUUCCCGGAUAGAGAAAGAUAACGUAACGAAUCACUACAGUUAUCAAACAUGGUAUCAGAGACAGGUCCAGAUAACGCAUUCUCAGAGAGAUCAAGAAACUGUAAAGAUGUCAUUUUCGAAAAAGAUCCAGGGAUAUUCCCUGAUAAGCCAUUAUGACUAAAGUUGAGAUUUUCAAGAUUUGUCAACAAGGCUAACUCAGGGCUAAUUGCACCAGUAAAGUUGUUGUUUGACAAAGAUAGUACCUUUAGAGAUUGCAACUUCUCGAGCCCCCUACCGAUCUUUCCUGAUAAACUUAAACCAUUUAAGUUGAGCUCAUUGACUCUACCAUUCAUUGGAUUGCAUUUGAUGUAUUCCCAUGCACAAGGAGAGUUAUCAUCUUCACUCCAUGAUAAGAGUUUUGAGUAAGGAUCAAGAAGAGCUGAUUUGAACACAAUGAGGCCUAAAACAUCAUCAUUAAGCUGCAUAGUAGUAUCAUCAGCUAAUAAAGAUCCAUACAAUAAGCCAAAAUGAAGUAUUAGAACUAAAAAAAGAUUAAAAGAUCUCAUUUUUAUGAUGGUGUUUUUAGUUCCUACAACAAGAGAAGCAAACAAAUGUUUUUCUCAGAGUAGUUAGAGAAGGGAAUGGAAAUGAAAAAGGGAAAAAAUGUGAAUUUUAGGUAAUGGAGUACAAGUUUCAUUGGAUGAAUGUUGAGUUUGGGAUUAUUGUUAGAUAUUCAUGUGUACAAGGUGGAAAGGAAAAUGAAGUAACUGUAUUUCACAAGAGUGAUAAUAGAUAGAGAAAUAAAGACUAAGAAUGGUAGUGUAGUGGACUUGUGAGUUUUGUGGUGGUCCUUGUGAGUUAAAGGAGUGAUAAAGAAAAGUUUUUUUUUCCUCUUUCCUUUUUGGUUUCUAGUCCCCCAUCACCCCCACCUAUAUUUGGAUUCUUGGAAAAAGAGAGAAAGUGGAGUGAGAGUAGGGUAAGGGUUGGGGAGAGUAAGAGUUGGAUCAGUAUUUUCACACAAGGUGGAGUAAGGUUGCGUACACACUAUUAUCUGCAGAUUAUACAAGGUAGGAGUAAGGUUGCGUACACACUAUUAUCUGCAGAUUAUACUUAUGUUGUUGACGGUAUAAAGCAAGAAUGUGCAUUGUAUCUACUAUUAUAGUUAAGUUUAAGGGUAUGUACAUACUAGACUUUCCAAGAUUUGUUGUUGACCGUAUAAAGUAGAAGGUAAAUUAUAUUUAUUAUUAGAGUGUUAAGUCAGUGUACACGCUAUUCACUUCAAAUUUCACUGAAUAUAUUGUUGACCGCAAACACACUUACAAUUAAUAAUCAAAUCUCACUGAUAUGUUGUUGACCGUAUAAAGUAAGAAGGUAAAUUAUAUUUAUUAUUAGAGUGUUAAGUCAGUGUACACGCUAUUCACUUCAAAUUUCACUUAAUAUAUUGUUGACCGCAAACACACUUACAAUUAAUUAUCAAAUCUCACUGAUAUGUUGUUGACCGUAUAAAAUAAGAAUUUAUAUUUACUAUUAGAGUUUUAAGACCGCGUACACACUACGCUCUCUAGAUCGCACUAGAUAUUUUGUUGACCGUAUAAAAUAAGAAUCUAAAUGAUAUGUACUAUUACAAUGUUAAGGUCACAUACACACUAUCUUCUCUAGACCCACUGAAUAUGACGUCGUUGACCGUAUAUAAUAAGAAGGUAAGUUAUAUCUAUUAUUAGAGUGUUAAGAUCAUAUAUACAUUACCCUCACCAAACUUCAUUAAUGCAUUAUACUAAAUAUAUAAUUAUUGAUCAAAGAAAAUAAGAAUAUCAGUUGUAUAUAUUAUUAGAGUGUAAGGACUUUAUAUCAUCAUCAAUUUACUUAGAGUAAAAAAAAAUAUUUAUACUAAUGAUGUAUGUAUAGAUUAAACUUAGUAUUUAAAUUGUCAUAUCACCUGCUAUCACAAAGAUAAAUUUAAUACACUUUUUGUAUAUAUAUAUAUAAGUUUCUAAAUCCUAGUUCAAGUUGAUUUUUCUAGUAUAACUCAAAUAGUACUAUGUACAUUAAUAAUUUAUUUACUUUUUUCUGUAUAUCUUCAGAUUGUUAAACAUAUAUAUAUAUAUAUAUAUAUAUAUAUAUCACGUCAAGAGAAAAAACAAACAUUAACAUGUGUUACAUAAACCAUAUAUCUAAGAUUCAUAUUACAAUAAUAGGAACAGACAAAAUUAUAACUUAUAACAAAGAAGUAAAAUUUGAAAUUUGAAAUUCAAUACAUGACUUAAGAAAAAUGAAAAUACAAAAACUCAUUGGAUUGUGGAUAUGUAGUUCAAGAAAGCACAGAGAAUGUAUAGAUAUGAUUUCUUCGACGUUAAUCAAAAGUUCUCGAUUUAAGUUUUGAGACUGGACUUUCAUGUGUAAUAGGCUUUACAUUGAUACGAAUUUAAAUUAAUUAGUAUCCUAAAGAAAAAUAUGAUCAACAUGAUAUGAAUUUAAAUUUGAUAUUUCAAUAUAUUGUACGCUCUCUAUAAUGGAUUUUAAUCUUUCAUAGGACAUGAAUUUUUCUUUAAGACCUUAAAACAAAUAUCAAAAUUUCUAUUCAAUGAAUUUUAUAUAAUAUGAUUUUAAUUUAAUCUGAAUUUAAACAUUAAAUAUGAAACCAACCGACAAAAGAAAAAGAUGAAUGUAAUUGGAAAAUAUAUAACUAUUUUUAUAAGAUAAAGUUUGAAAUAAAAAAGGAAAGAUAAAUGGAAUCUAAUGAGAAUGUUAUGGUUGUUUGUACAAAAAAAAGACACCAAGCUGUGAAAAAAUGAUGAGACAAUCAACAAUAUGGUCCAAUGUGACACAUUUCCCCACAAAUUCCCAAAGACUUGUUAUUUUCACUCUUUUUAUCUUCUUUUUUUUUUUUAUAAUUUUAUAAUUAAAAAAAACUUUUAUUUUUGUAUUAUUAUUUAGGGCUUCUCAACCAUGUGUCGUUUGUCACAUCAUCUAUUACUUUGUCAUUUCAUUUUCUCUGUCAAUAAUUUUUCAAAAAAUAUGAAAAUACAAAAUCAUUUCAUUUGUUGUGUUUCACAUCCAAGAAUAUUUUAUUUUUUGAUCUACUUGCACUUUUUAGAGCAUAUUUCGAUGAAAUAAACAAUUUUACACUUUCUAAAACAUGUUAUUUGUCGUGAUUAAACUUUUUGACCAUCAGUUAAUAUCUAUUUGAAAGAUGAUGUUAUAUAAAUAAUUUUAAUAAAAUACACUUUACAUAAUCACAAGAAACAAAUGAAGAUCACGGGUGCAACUUAAAAUUUUGACUGUGAUAGUAGGUCCCAUGUUUUGUUCUUUUGUCAUUAUCAUCUUUGUCUUAAAAUUAUAAAUUAAUACUUUUAAAAAUAAUUCGUAAUUUGAAGUUUGUUAUUUGGUGUUUAAUAUUUGUAUUAAGACAUAAUUUAUAUAUAGCUUUGAACAGUAGUAAUUUUAUAUAUUAAAAGUAAAGAGCAUUCAACUUCAUACUUGAAGUUAGGAUUUGAUCAAAUUCAAAAUAAUCUCUGAUUAAAAUAUUUUAUUAUUUCAUCUCAAAUUUUGUUAAUUACCUCAAAUGACUCCUACGUGAACUUUAAGCUUUAUGAUUUAUGCAUAUGAUAUAUUAUUAGUUGUUUUUUCCUUUAAUUUCGAAUUUAUUUACCUCAAAAGAAUGUAUUUGUUGUCCGAUAGUUCGAUGUUUGAUUCUCCAAUUUACUGGGGUUAUUAUUAUUAUAUAUAUACAAUAUUUCUUUAGUCUCUAAGCUUUAUUAAUGUAACUGUUUUAUCUGUCUAGUAUUAUUUUUUUAAAUUCAUUUUACCAAUUAUGUAGCUUUUGAUAAAGAGGCAAACUUUAUAAUACACUUUGUAGUCCGAUUUACGUUUUUUUUGUUGAUAUUAUAUGAAGGUGAACACACAAGUUUAAUUAACUAGUAUAAUAUAGAUAAUUGUAAACUUUUAUAAUAAUAAAAAAAAAUAGUAGUUGAAAAGUAACAUUUGAAAGACAAUUAUUCAUGUGUGUGUUCAUUAUUUCAAACCUCAAACUCAUGGCAAAUUUAAACGUCAAUUUAAAACGAAUUCAUGUAUGCUCAGUUAUAAUACAUUAUUAUAAUAUUAAUUAUUAACUUAAAAUCGUUACAAAAAUUUAUAUAUAUUAAAUUAGUGACAGAACAUCACAAUAUGUUGUUACUAUGAAAUGCGUAGUUAAUUUCAAUUUUUUUUGUUCUCUUAAUGUAACGGUGAUAUAUAUGUGUGUGUGAGGGCUUAAUAUAAUAUAAUUAGUGAAGGAUUAUUGUUAGGUUCCUAUAUAUAAAAUUAAAUUUUGUUAGCUACGAACAAAAUAACGAUGAGUGAUUGUGUGACAUAAGGAUUAUUCGUAGGUUCCUAGCUGCUAUACAGGCAGAAUCUAAGAGUGAUGGGUUGUUGUAUAUAUGAUUAAGAUUUGAAGAAUGAAGAAUGGGUAUCUUGUGACUCAUUUUCAUUUCUCAUCUGUGAGUUUUUGUCAGCUUCGAUCUACACAAUACCUCAUCACAUGCACCUCAAUAUCCCCCGCACAACAUCAAUCAAACCGUUUGCGUGAUAAAUUUUUGAUUAUAAUCGCAAAUAUAUUACGAUAUUAAAGAAUAUUUGUGACUAGCGAGAGUAUUUAUUUUCUUCAUUCGAGCAUAAUAUUUAAUUUUUUUGUGAAUAACUAAGUAUAUACCCAGGAAUAUAUGGCAUAUAACUAAUCUUUGUGUUGAUUUUAAGUUUUUGCUUAAAGGAAAAAAGAUUAACAAGUGUCAUGUAGGUUUUUGUUUGUUAAUUAUGUUUAGCUCUAACAUUAUCAUACUUUUAUAUUUGUUUGUUUUACAUAAAUAUUCAAACAUGUAUGAAAAUGGAAAUGAUUUUUUCUUCCAACUUUACCCCUAUAUUCUGAUAAUGCCUUGUGGCAACACUCCACUUUAGUUUUGGCUUUAAUUGAUUUCUUGUUUGGAUGUGGUAUGUGUGGACACCCUCAAUUUUGGCUCAAUCCUUGCUUGAUCAAUGAAACUUUUUGUUUUGCAAGAUCUGUUAAGAUUAAGGGCUUGAGACAUUUUGCUAACACAACAAGUGAAUGGGAUUAAUACAUUCAUUCAAAUCUAUUUAAUUCGAUUUUUGUAAAAUAUUAUGUCUUUGUUACUAGCGCGAAAGUAUAAUGAAAUCUUAAUACAUUUCAAGCAAAUGAACAUUUUGCUAAUUAAUAUAUUUAUUUUUAUAGAGGAAAAAAAAAUUUAAAAAAUUCCAUUUUCAGUAGCAUACAAGACAAGAAAAAAAAAGUAGAAUAUAAAGUUUUGGAGUAAAGAAUUAGAAAUUAAAGUACACAGAACUUUAAGGUUAAGAUUCGUCUUGUACAAAUCAUCAGAGGUACUUCAAAUGCAUAUAGACACCAAGGCAAAGACAAGAAUAUAUUACAUUAGGUCACUAAAAAUAUUUUUUCUUUUUUCAAUUUCUUGAUUUUUUUUUUUGUUUUCUUGUUUAAUUUAGGUUAAAAGUUUUCCAAAUAAAUCAUUAUUAUCGGAUUAAUAAUAAUUCACUAUUGCACGUUAUUAAAGCGUAUAAAGAGGUUCUACCCUUCUCUAUUGUGAAAUAUGAAAUGAUUUUCCACUCAUUCAAAUAACAAGUUUAUGGAGAAUAUUCUAUUGAAAUUCGAACAAAAGCUUUGAUGCAAUUUAAGUUGACAAAUCGGAAGCAAAGAGGAAAAGGUUUCUAGAUUUUAAGGGCCAAGUCUUAUUUAGGGCCCAACCCAACAUCCUAAUGGGUCAUCUGCUGAAGAAAAUCUCAAAGGCCAUUCACAUAAAUGGGCCUACUUUUGGGGUGGUCUUUUGAGUUUUGCUUGUCUUUAAUUUUUAUAACCUUUGAUUGUUUUUAGUAAAGUAACAAGAAAUACUCCUUUAUAUAUGAAUCUAUGGCGCAAAAAAACCUAUUUCUAUUGCUUCUUCAAGUGUCGUAUCUUCGAUUUUGACAACCUAUUCGGUUUGCAUAAGCACAAGGAUCAAGAACCAACGGCUGAGUCCAAGUCUGAUUGUGCUCACCUCGACUAGUUCUACAAAAUAUAUGUCACCUGCCCACCAACAAAACAUAAGAUGAAGGACUAAAGGUUUUGGCGGACUUUCAUUCUGGUCUAAAUUAAGAAACAUACUAGGCACCCCCCACAAGCCUGUUGUAGGAUAUACUUACACCCAGAAGAUUUUACAACUUGCCAACUUCUUGAGGUAUUUCACCACUCAAUUGGUUAU
This 7701-nucleotide long non-coding RNA is filed under the name Solanum melongena (eggplant). Its description in RNAcentral is "long non-coding RNA (SMEL_LNC000191)". The record is from RNAcentral. Lineage: Eukaryota; Viridiplantae; Streptophyta; Magnoliopsida; Solanales; Solanaceae.